GUGAAGCCAAGGCCGACUAAAUUCAAUAUUUAAUAAUAAAAUGCAAAAAGGCACAGGAAACUGUGCCUUUUUG
This 73-nucleotide small RNA is filed under the name Geotalea uraniireducens Rf4. RNAcentral describes it as "Geobacter uraniireducens Rf4 Salmonella enterica sRNA STnc40". It matches the Rfam family "Salmonella enterica sRNA STnc40". The record is from Rfam by way of RNAcentral. Lineage: Bacteria; Pseudomonadati; Thermodesulfobacteriota; Desulfuromonadia; Geobacterales; Geobacteraceae.